This 502-nucleotide ribosomal RNA is filed under the name uncultured bacterium. RNAcentral describes it as "partial 16S ribosomal RNA". It matches the Rfam family "Bacterial small subunit ribosomal RNA", at positions 28 to 523 of the family's 1533-position model. The record is from RNAcentral.
GAUGAACGCUAGCGGCAGGCCUAACACAUGCAAGUCGAGGGGCAGCACAGAAACAGCAAUGUUUUGGUGGCGACCGGCGGACGGGUGCGUAACGCGUAUGCAACCUACCUUUAACAGGGGGAUAACGGAGAGAAAUUUCCACUAAUACCCCAUAACAUCGAUCAAGGCAUCUUGAUUGGUUGAAAACUCCGGUGGUUAAAGAUGGGCAUGCGUUGUAUUAGGUAGUUGGUGAGGUAAUGGCUCACCAAGCCUACGAUACAUAGGGGGACUGAGAGGCUAGCCCCCCACACUGGUACUGAGACACGGACCAGACUCCUACGGGAGGCAGCAGUGAGGAAUAUUGGUCAAUGGGGGCAACCCUGAACCAGCCAGGCCGCGUGCAGGAAGACGGCUCUAUGAGUUGUAAACUGCUUUUAAACAGGGAUAAAGCACAGUAUGUAUACUGUGUUGAAGGUACUGUAAGAAUAAGGAUCGGCUAACUCCGUGCCAGCCGCCGCGGUAA